This 257-nucleotide ribosomal RNA is filed under the name uncultured Anaerococcus sp. RNAcentral describes it as "partial 16S ribosomal RNA". It matches the Rfam family "Bacterial small subunit ribosomal RNA", at positions 99 to 355 of the family's 1533-position model. Lineage: Bacteria; Bacillati; Bacillota; Tissierellia; Tissierellales; Peptoniphilaceae. The record is from RNAcentral.
CGGACGGGUGAGUAACGCGUGAGUAACCUGCCUUACACAAGGGGAUAGCCGUUGGAAACGACGAAUAAUACCCUAUAACAUUAACCAAUCGCAUGAUAGGUUAAUCAAAGAUUUAUCGGUGUAAGAUGGACUCGCGUCUGAUUAGCUAGUUGGUGGGGUAACAGCCUACCAAGGCAACGAUCAGUAGCCGGCUUGAGAGAGUGUACGGCCACAUUGGGACUGAGACACGGCCCAGACUCCUACGGGAGGCAGCAGCA